RNAcentral lists this ribosomal RNA (212 nucleotides) under uncultured bacterium. RNAcentral's name for it is "partial 16S ribosomal RNA". It matches the Rfam family "Bacterial small subunit ribosomal RNA", at positions 312 to 525 of the family's 1533-position model. The record is from RNAcentral.
CCGCCGCGCGCGGCGGGCCUACGGGAGGCAGCAGUGGGGAAUAUUGCACAAUGGGCGCAAGCCUGAUGCAGCCAUGCCGCGUGUAUGAAGAAGGCCUUCGGGUUGUAAAGUACUUUCAGCGGGGAGGAAGGCGAUAAGGCUAAUAACCUUGUCGAUUGACGUUACCCGCAGAAGAAGCACCGGCUAACUCCGUGCCAGCAGCCGCGGUAAUA